This 357-nucleotide ribosomal RNA is filed under the name uncultured Pelotomaculum sp. Its description in RNAcentral is "bacterial SSU rRNA". It matches the Rfam family "Bacterial small subunit ribosomal RNA", at positions 1024 to 1382 of the family's 1533-position model. The record is from RNAcentral. Lineage: Bacteria; Bacillati; Bacillota; Clostridia; Eubacteriales; Desulfotomaculaceae.
UGACAGGGAGACAGGUGUGCAUGGUUGUCGUCAGCUCGUGUCGUGAGAUGUUGGGUUAAGUCCCGCAACGAGCGCAACCCCUACGUUUAGUUGCUAACGCGUGAAGGCGAGCACUCUAGACGAACUGCCGUUGACAAAACGGAGGAAGGUGGGAUGACGUCAAAUCAUCAUGCCCCUUAUGUUCUGGGCUACACACGUGCUACAAUGGCCGGUACAGACGGACGCAAAGCCGCGAGGUGGAGCAAAUCCUAAAAAGCCGGUCUCAGUUCGGAUUGCAGGCUGCAAUUCGCCUGCAUGAAGUCGGAAUCGCUAGUAAUCGCAGGUCAGCAUACUGCGGUGAAUACGUUCCCGGGCCUU